Eurypyga helias (sunbittern) is the source of this 2723-nucleotide long non-coding RNA. RefSeq lists it as uncharacterized. The transcript has 2 exons. The record is from RefSeq and is a predicted model, not a curated record. NCBI's taxonomy places the organism in Eukaryota, Metazoa, Chordata, Aves, Eurypygiformes, Eurypygidae.
GUACUGUACAGACCAGAUGGACAACAUGAAGGCAAGUUGUUCUCGACCGGAAGGCACACAAUAGAGGUCCCAGUCCCCAGUGAUGGCGAGUAUGUUGUUGAGGUCCGAGCACACAGUGAAGGAGGAGAUGGAGAAGUAGCUCAAAUAAAAAUUUCAGGUGCCACUGCUGGAGUACCAACCCUCCUGCUGGUCCUGGUGGUGCCUACCCUGGGUGUCCUCGCCUGCUCGGGAUUCUGAAUGUAGCUGGAUUUACCUUGUCCUCCGCCUAACACAAAGGACUCCCUUUGAAGAUGAGGACCACGACUCUUUUUGAUUCUUGUGGCACCAUCCUAAGCCAAAUAAAUUACCCUUUAAAAUAAAUUACCCUACCGAUUUCCUAUGGACUUUAAGAGGACUGAGGCAUCCAGGAACUCCUUCAUGAAGUAAAUCAACUUUUGAAAGGCUAAGAAAUAUUUUUAACUUGUUCCAAUAUGCCUUAUGAAACACGCUGAUCUGUGACAGUUGCAUGAUUCGGUCCAAUGGGGCAAGUUACAGUGUUAAAACCCAAUAACAUAGGCUGUACAGUGAAAGUAAAAUCACCAUACGUAGGUGCUUUAACUUGAAUAACAAAUUGUGAAAUAUAAUAGAGAUUGAAAUGUUGAUUGUAUGUGAUAAAUGUAAGAGUACUACGUCUGUCUGUACUAUCCUAUAUGUUUUGUGUACUGCAUAUUUUUGAAUGGCCCCAUCAUCAUUUAUUGGGAUUACUGGGUUUUAGAGAGACAGUCAAAGCAAAAACAUUUCAUUUUUUUAGAGCUGUAUUUCUUGAGGCUAUUGGAUAGAAAUUGAAGGACUUGAAAUAAAAGUCAGUGACAAGGAACUGUUUUUUUAAAAGAUGUUCAGAAUACCCGAGACAUGCGUAGUGUGCUCAGCCUGAAGGAAUUUACCUGUGCUUCACUGACACGAGAUUUACCAUAUUCUUUUCUUAAACAGUUCUGUUGAAGUAUUCCUUCAUGGUCAUUGUUGCUGAUUUUUAGAGUGAAGUGUCAGCUUUCAGGGAAGCAGUGAAAUGUGUUGGUUUUGAUUUAGUAUUAUUACUAUUAUUAUUAUUAAGGUAGCAAUAUAUUACGUAAGAGUUUGGAGAUGGAGUCCACAUAAAGACCAGCCAAGUGGACCAUGAAAUGGUAGGAAACGCAUGUUAUUUUUUAAGGUGAAAAGAUUUAAAAUAUAAAAAAAAGAAAAAGAUAUACAAUAAAUGGCAAAAACAGAGUAGCACAGUAAAAAAAAUACUAUAUUUACAUUUUUAUGCUGCAGAUGCCAGGUGUUACCUUCCUGUAGUGAAGGUGUACAUUUGGGAGAAUUAUAUGCUUUUUCAAGAACUUGAUAUUAUUCUAAUGUUCAUAGUGUUGUAAAUAAGAGUUUUAAAGUUCUGAGACCGUCUCCCUAUUUGAUAGAAUACUGGAUGAUCCAACUGUGUGUUGAUAUAUGGAAGUCAGCUCCCAACAGUUAGUCAAAUCUAAAUGUUUACUAUGGCCUUUGCAAAAUGGGAACUCUAUUAGAGAUAGAGAAUGUUUUUGUUCUGACUGUGUCUGGAGUGUUUCAGUGUUGGGUUUUUUGUUGGUUUGUUUGGGUUUUUUUAAGUUGUUAAAGAAAUGCACAUUACUUUCACUUUCCAUGGUGUGCCGGGAAUUAGUUCAAGUGUGAAUGUUGAAGAAACACAGUGAUAUUGAAUCAGCUGGCUCAAGUAAUAGUGCAAUGUCUGAUGCUUCAAGAAUUAUAAGCUUUGAAUCAUAUUUUAUUAGCACAACCUUGCUAGCUACUUAGAAAUAGAGUUUAUCUUUUUAGAACUGAUACUGUAGAGGUCCAUAAUUAAAAUAUUUACAGGAAGCAAGAAUAGGUCUAUUAAUAACUUACACCCACUUCUUUUAUUUGUAUAAUUUUGUACUAUAUAUUUACAUGUAAAAGUGUAGAGUCUUCAUUAAGAAAUAUCAAUAAUACUGGUUUAGUUUAAUUUUAACUAUUUGUUAAAAGAUGAAAUUUUUUUAAGAGGUGAAAGUGAUAACUUCCCUAUAGAGGAAUGUCAAAGUGUCAAACACUACUGAGUUUCAUAAAUUGUAUAAUUAUUUGAAAGAGAAAAGAGCUGUCUUCAUACAUAACAAACUAAUAUGCUGUAAGCCUUCUAUACAAAAAAAAAUGUGGUUUAUUGUGUUUCAUUUUGUUUGGUUAUUUUGCAGGAUGACUCAUUUUUAUAUAACGUACAACCACAACUAAAUCUUUUGCCAAAUGCAUGAUUGCCUUUUACUUUUCUAAUACCUGGUGUAAAAAGCAAAACUGUUUAGUUUUUGCAUGGAAAUGACCUGGGAAGGAAAGCCACUUCUUUUUUUAAGUCAGCUAAAGUGAUGAGGUAGGUCUCACAUUCUGAUCAGAUAGGUGGAGAUUUUUCUGUUUCAUGUAGGUGUGUAAAUUUGACGGGACCUUCAGUUUCAAAUUGUUGUCAAGAAAAACUAAUGUAUCAUCCGCUUUAAAACGCAAGGUUCGUAAUUAAAGUUUACAUAGAUAGACAUAUUUGUUGUUUCUUUAUAUUUCAGGAAACUUGAUAUUACUCUUAUUUGAUACUGAUGAAUAUUGAACUGGUUUUUUAGUUACUUUUUAUCUUUUUUUUUUUUUCAGAUUAGUAGAGCAGGACUGUGCUUUGUCCUUUUUAUGAAUGAAAAGUAAAUUACAAUUAAAUAAAUGUAUUAAUGUUA